AUGCAGAUGCAAUUUUAUGUUUUACAAUAAUUGGCUUUUGCUAUAAAGGGAUAUUGUCUUCAAUAUGUCACUACUUAAGUGUGAUAAUAUCAUGUAGUUAUUAAAUUGCUUUGAUUUAUAGGGAUUAAACUAAUUGUACUGCAUUAGUAGACAAUGCGUUUUUGGACCUGUCCUGGAGCACCCCAUAUUUUGUAUGCGUCUGCUAAUGAGCUGAUGAGGUACUUCUGGCUUUGUCCUAGUAAGGCGGUAUAUCUUGUCAUCGAAGAAUUCUUUGCACACAUUGAAAUACAAAAAAAUAAUGAGCUGACAGUGAAUUAACACUGAGCUUAUCUAAUUUAAUGAGAUGAUGGCAUUGUUUUUUUUUUCAGUUGUUUUGUUGUUAAUAAAUCAUAUAAUGUUAAACUGUGCACAAUGUAAACCACUGUGAGACCAUAUACAGUUGUCAUAAUUACACAUACUGCAAUAAUACAAAGUCGAGACAUUUAUGUGUUACUUUAUUUUAUUUAUUUAUUUAUUACACAUCCUCACUGGGAUGCAGCUUUCCAUUUGAGAAACACCCCAGGUGUGUUAAAUUAGGAUAACAUGCAAAAUGUCCAGUGCUCCAAGACACGUUUGAAAACCCUCGCAAUAGACAGCCUUAUUAAAGAUUUGUUUGGAAUAAAUGAAGCCGUCAGUAAAUUUUGGUUGUGCAUUUAUUUAAAAUAAACAGUCAAUUGGGUGAAGUUAUUGUUGACAUUAAGUGACAGAAUUCACACAAAGUCAUCAAUAGCGUUAACGUCGUCAAUGAUGUUAAAAGGUAAAAUUAAGAAUUUAGAAGUGCAAAGGCACCCAAAGACUCAUGUUCGCCCUGUUGUGUAAUUAAAGUAGCCUGCCUUCAUUUUACCUGAAGAUUAGUUCAUGAAAAAAUAGUUUAUUAUUUUAAUGUAUAAAUCUGUAAACAUCAUACCUGUUUUCCCAUCUUUUUCUAGUGAGUUGUGCAUUGGGUAACCAGACUCAUCCAAGUCAUCAUUCUCUUCAGUGGCUUCACAAAAUUCUCUCCCCCCACAAUGAAGGCAUGUUCAUUCUUGUGUUUUGAAUUUUGCGGCCACCACAGAUUGAGUCUGUGGAGAAUUUAAAAUCUUAAUCUCCAUCAAGACUGCCAAAAUUAAUUGCCUCAGCUGGUACAUGUACUAUACUACUAGAUGGAUGUUGCACACCAUGAAGUGGCUGCCAAGUUCUUUUGUUGUGUUUGCCCAGAAGACGUUAGACAUUCACACCCUUCUUCUCAACCAACAACUGGUUAAUCAGGAUUCAUUUCAGCCUGCCACUGAACAAAGAGUGAAGUAGUAAAGGCAGGUCUGAUGCAUGUAGUCAGUUGCUUUAUACGCUGGAAGCCUCAGUGAUGCAUUAAGCGAGGUUAUCAACCCCUAGGUGCUGAUCUGUUAAAGGUUUCCACAUUUAGCAGGUUUGGAAAGACCAAGGAAAGGUGUCAGGAAAGACACAGAUGAGUGGAAGGUGAAUGGGUGGUGCAGUUGAUUGGGGUAAGGUUUUAAACUCCGGUUCAGUGAUACUGAACAAAAACUCUUCUGUGGUGUACGAGGAGAGGAUGUACAAACUGCAAGUAAUGAUGGCGAGCCAACCCAGACUGUGACUUUGAUCUUUGUUUCAACUGUUCCUGCAAAGGGAUUCUCUGUAAACUCACUACCAAACAGUUGGAGUAUCCGGAUCUGUUUUUAACUGAAUAAAGCAUCGAUUUCUUCCAUUCUUCUACAUUAUUAUUAUUUUUCUGAACUGGAAAUCUUUUUUCUUCAACAUCUAACUGAACUGAACUGAAUUGUAUUCCACGACAAGAACAGAAAUUAAAUGGAAUUUAAGUAA
This is a long non-coding RNA of Onychostoma macrolepis, 1857 nucleotides long. RefSeq lists it as uncharacterized. The transcript has 4 exons. The record is from RefSeq and is a predicted model, not a curated record. Lineage: Eukaryota; Metazoa; Chordata; Actinopteri; Cypriniformes; Cyprinidae.